AAAUGGUGGUGGGAAAAAUUAAGUCCAGAAAUCAAUGAACAAGAUUUUCAAAUGAUGACUACUAAUUGUGGGUCUUCCCCUUGCAAGUAAACCUUGCCAACACUUCUGAACACUGUGGACGCCACUGCAUUCUUAAAUCCUUCACAGAGACCCGAAAAGAGCUCAGUCAGACAAAAAAUUCAAAGAUGAAGGAACACCGCAGAGAGUUCUUAAAAUGAAGCUGCCUUGUACCUUCCGUACUUGCUCUUCAGUUAUGGUCCCUGUACCAAAGCUUGUUUCUGUUCUUUCUUAUCCCACACCUCCACAACACCUCCUCAGAGCCCCACCUUGCAUCCAGGAUUUCCCAGAAAGAUAAAUGAAUGCUGUGUGUGCACACCCCAUUUGAGGCAGGCGCCACGGAGGCCGCACGAAAUGGAACUCCGGGAACAGAAGCCUUUUCCUUCCAAACACACCUCUUCUUCCGGCUCCUUGGGUCUGACCUGCCAAACAACUAGCAAACACAUUUCUCUGAAUGUCCAACCCCAACUGUGCUGGAGCAGAAUUAGUAAGUGUCCUGUGGAGAGGCCCAUGUGAGUGAGCUGGGAAGUGAAUCCUCUCUCAUUCAAGCCUUGAGAUGACUGCAGCCCCAGCCAACACCUUGACUCCAGCCUGUGACCGACCCCGAGCAAGAACCACCACCUACAUCACUCCCAGAUUCUGAAUCCACAGGAACUGUGAGAUGGGUGUCUAUGGUUUUCAGCCACUAAGUUUUGGGGUAAUU
Molecule: long non-coding RNA, 760 nt
Filed under: Equus asinus (donkey)
Lineage: Eukaryota; Metazoa; Chordata; Mammalia; Perissodactyla; Equidae
Description: lncRNA (ENSEASG00005032077.1)
Source: RNAcentral